GGCAGAAAAAUGUUGUUCUAAAACUGAUAUUGACAAUGAAUGCUGAGGCAAACAUAUAAAAAAAAUACUACAAAUUUUAAAGAAAUCAUAUCUAAAAUGUAAGAAUUUUUUUCAUUUUUGCAACUAUAUUUCUGUGGAAAUACUUUUGCAAUAUGUGAAGACCUGCAUGCUUCAUACUUAAAUUAUGGGCGUAGAAUGGAGUAUCAACCAGACUACUUAGAGGGUUAAAGACUGAACUUAGCCUGACUAAAGAAGCCCAGGGACUUAUAUGUAAAUAAAUACGUCCACUGGGAUUCAACUGCAAGAUGGCCGAGAGGAUAAGAAUCCCCAAUUUCUCUUGUGCGGUCAGGGAUUAACCGCUGCCGCCGGAGAAGUAUGCCUCAGGUGAGGGAGAGUCGCCGGGGAGCGUCGCCGUGGUUGGAUGGACGCCGCCCUUUCGCCUUGUGACGGAGGAAGCCCCGGAUGAGGGCGCGUUGCGCCAUGCGCGUGCGCCUGAGGGCGCUGCCGUCGCGUUGCCGCAGUGCCUCUUCCAGCCCCAGCCAGUCAUCCGCGUCGCCGUGUGUGCUCUAGCCAUUGCAUCCCGUGGAUGAGCAGCGAGGCGCAUGGACGCGGGAACCGCUAGCGAUGUUGCAGAUCGCUUGAUCCAGUGCAAGAAAAACUGAACUUUUCUUCCUUGGUCAAUGAUCUCUUCCGGUUGAUGCUUCAGCCAUCUAUUCAUCUCACCAUAUCCACAUACUAUGUGCAGAAAAGCAGUUGAUGUUCAGAUCAAGGGAAGAACUAAAAUUAAACGGAAUUAGUGUUUCCUGAUUGAUUUCCCGAUGCUCGUUCAGGCAGUCGCUGUGCUGACGCCGUUUAAGGCGUUCGUGCUUGACUCGUUGGCUGCCGCCGCCGCCGACUGGAAGGGUCCCGCUGAUGGUGUCUGCGCCACCGGGAGGAGCGAGGCCGCAUCACCCCGCGCCGGAGGACGCCCCAUGCACCAGAGGGCGCCUCGUGUGGUGCUUAUGUGCGGGUGACCGCGCCGCCGGACGAGGGCUGCGGUGUCGCGCGCCCGCUGGUGGCCACCGCGCUGCAGGGCUAGAACAGAGGCGUCUCCUAUGCUUUUGUGGCCUUCUCGCUCUCGGUAGAGCCGAGUGCUGAUAACGUGUAAAAGUAAAACGAGAGAGAGGGGAACAAAUGAUUGAACAGUGAUUGUAUUGACUGAAGAAUAGGGUAUUUAUACCCAUGUACAGAGGCGGUAAUUACAUAGUCGGUAACUGGCGGUUGCUAAACUAAACAACCGACCUAAGCAUUGAUUAUUAGGAUUUAAUUAAUCCUUAACAAUGUUAUUACUACCAACUACUCUUAAACGAUGACAUGUGUAUUUAUCUUU
Triticum aestivum (bread wheat) is the source of this 1369-nucleotide long non-coding RNA. RefSeq lists it as uncharacterized. The transcript has 2 exons. Lineage: Eukaryota; Viridiplantae; Streptophyta; Magnoliopsida; Poales; Poaceae. The record is from RefSeq and is a predicted model, not a curated record.